Pelobates cultripes (western spadefoot toad) is the source of this 373-nucleotide non-coding RNA. The record is from the annotation of a GenBank genome assembly. Lineage: Eukaryota; Metazoa; Chordata; Amphibia; Anura; Pelobatidae.
GGCAUUCUAAGAUAAAGGGACAAGAGCAUAGGUUCACUGGGGCAUGGUUUCAGAAAGGAAAUCAAUGAGAGUAGUGUCCUCAAUAGAAAAUUAACCCACAUCCAUAAAUUACAACUAUAACCAUCUGUCCUUGUUCCUCAAGAGAUUCUACUUUAUGAAUAAACUUACAAAUAGGUUUAUGUUGCUGGUAUAUAACACUUGGCUCUCAGUGUUUAUUGACUUUCCCUACAGGACCACAGGGAUUACCAACUCACAGUGGUUUGGUGAGUGCAUCCAUAUGCUUACCUGCUAUGUGCUCCCGUUGAUGCCGUCACCAGCACACAGAAAUCAUGCAUCGUGGCAAGAAUUCUACAUUCUCCAAAUUUAAUAGAAA